This 1968-nucleotide long non-coding RNA is filed under the name Homo sapiens (human). Its description in RNAcentral is "HSALNT0402488". The record is from RNAcentral. Lineage: Eukaryota; Metazoa; Chordata; Mammalia; Primates; Hominidae.
AGUCAGCUCGGGAGAGGGACCGCGGCGACCUGUCCCGGGGGCGUAAGAAAAGGGAUGAAGCCACCGAGGCAGGGAGAAAAGUGCUUUGCCCUACAAGCAACUAAGUCAUAGGGCCAGGAGCAAAACCCUGAAAACCUCAGGAGACUUGCAGAGCCAUGAGGCUGGCUCAGCAACACAAAAGCCAGGGGCAAGCCUCAGCUCUAGCAGUGCGGUGGGAGCACCCAAGGCCAGUCACAUCCUAGGGUGGCCUGGAGAGUCCUGACCCCUGACGUGCAAGCCGGCAUCAUCCCCGGGACUGUGAGUCUGGUGGGGGUGAUGCCCAGGAAUGUGACAUUGUGUGGCCCAGAGGUACCCUUAAGACUGGAGGAUCACCAGGCGGGCCCUGACCUCAUCACAGGAGCCCUUUAAAAGCAGUUUCCUUUGCCUGGUUGAAGAAAUCGGAGGGAUCAAACCAAAGAAGGUUUUCUGUUGUUGAGAUGAGGGGGCCACGUGGCAAGGAUCUGAGAACUGCUCCCAGCCAACAGCCAGCAAGACAACAAGACCUUAACUGCAAGGAAGUGAGUUCUGCCAACAAGAAGAGAAUGGGCUUGGAGGCAGGUUUGACCCCAGGGCCUCCACACAAGAACUGAGCCCAACUGCCCACUUGGUUUCAGCCUUGGGUUACUAAGAAUUAGGAGGUAAUGAAUGAGAGUUGUUUUAAGCUGUUGGUUUUGUGGUGAUUUGCUAUGAAGCCAUAUCAAACUAAUAUACACACAGAGGUGUUGGCCCCUGGGCCAUUCCUAGGAAGCCAGCUCUGCGAAGGAGGAAGAAGGGCAGAGAGGCACACAGAGCUGCCCACCACAGCAGCUGUGUCCUCCCUGUUGGCCACCACAGUAGCAGUUGGGGAUGGUCAGCAUCCUUCAGGCAGACUCCAGCCCCGGGUGCUGGAGCUCAGGUGCUAGGGAUCAAGAGAAGUAGCCCUCUCUGGGACCUCCAGAGUCUUCUCAUGUGGGUGGGGUAGGACCCACCCAGUCAGGCUCAGAGCACCGCAAUGCCUCACACUCAUUGUGACUCUGGCCAGGCCCUCUCUGAGCCUCUGUGUCCUCAUCUGGAGCACAGGGACCAGGUGUGUGGAAGCCCGUGGCAUAGUGCCAGGAACACAGUAGAUGUGCACAGUGUGCACUAGCAGGAACACACAACAGGGGUACUGACUGUCAGCACCUAGGCAGGCACACGCAAUGGGGUACUGACUGUCAGCCAUACUGACUGUCAGCGUGCUAGCAGGCAUACACAACAGCUGUACUGACAGCACACUAGCAGGCACAUGCCAUAGGUGUACUGACUCUCAGUGCACUGGCAGGCACACGCAAUAGGAGUAAUGACAGCAUGCUGGCAGGCACACAAUAGCUGUACUGACUGUUUGCCCCAAUAUAGUGCCAGGUCUUGGAGCAGAUUUUGACUUCUCACCAAGAUCAAAUGCAGAAAGUGCACGAGCAUUUCAAAGAUGUUUUUCACAUGCACAUUAGUGCUAGUUAAAAAAAUGUUUUGACUGGGUGCAGUGGCUCACAACUGUAAUCCCAACACUUUGGGGGGCCGAGGUGGGCAGAUCACCUGAGGUCAGGAGUUUGAGACCAGCCUGGCCAACAUGGUGAAACCCCAUCUACCCUAAAAAUACAAAAAUUAGCCAGGUGUGGUGGCAGGUGCCUGUAAUCUCAGCUACUUUGGAGGCUGAAGCAGGAGAAUCACUUGAAUCCAGGAGGCAGAGGUUGCAGUGAGCCGAGAUCCCACCACUGCACUCCAGCCUGGGCAACAAUAUCAAGACUCCACCUCAAAAAAAAAAAUGUUUUUCAUAAAGUGUGACUUUUAUCAGACCUCUGCAUUCUUGAAAUUAACUCUGGCUUGGCUGGGCGUGGUGGCCCACACCUGUAAUCUUAACACUUUGGGAGGCUGAGGUGGGCAGAUCACGAGGUCAGGAGUUCAAGACCAGCC